Molecule: ribosomal RNA, 899 nt
Filed under: [Petriella] asymmetrica var. cypria
Lineage: Eukaryota; Fungi; Ascomycota; Sordariomycetes; Coronophorales; Ceratostomataceae
Description: LSU rRNA
Rfam family: Eukaryotic large subunit ribosomal RNA
Source: RNAcentral
AACAUAUCAAUAAGCGGAGGAAAAGAAACCAACAGGGAUUGCCUCAGUAACGGCGAGUGAAGCGGCAACAGCUCAAAUUUGAAAUCUGGCUGCCUGUGCAGUCCGAGUUGUAAUUUGAAGAGGAUGCUUUUGGCAAGGUGCCUUCCGAGUUCCCUGGAAUGGGACGCCAUAGAGGGUGAGAGCCCCGUAUGGUCGGUCGCCGAGCCUCUGUAAAGCUCCUUCGACGAGUCGAGUAGUUUGGGAAUGCUGCUCAAAAUGGGAGGUAAACCCCUUCUAAAGCUAAAUAUUGGCCAGAGACCGAUAGCGCACAAGUAGAGUGAUCGAAAGAUGAAAAGCACUUUGAAAAGAGAGUUAAACAGCACGUGAAAUUGUUGAAAGGGAAGCGCUUGCGACCAGACUUGUGCUCGUCGAAUCAGCCGUCGCUCGUCGGCGGCGCAUUUCGGCGGGCUCAGGCCAGCAUCAGUUCGCUGCAGGGGGAGAAAGGCGGUAGGAAUGUGGCUCUUCGGAGUGUUAUAGCCUACCGUAUAAUACCCCUCGGUGGACUGAGGACCGCGCAUCUGCAAGGAUGCUGGCGUAAUGGUUGUCAGCGACCCGUCUUGAAACACGGACCAAGGAGUCGUCCUAAUAUGCGAGUGUUCGGGUGUAAAACCCCUACGCGUAAUGAAAGUGAACGGAGGUGAGAGCUUCGGCGCAUCAUCGACCGAUCCUGAUGUUCUCGGAUGGAUUUGAGUAUGAGCAUAUUGGGCCGGACCCGAAAGAAGGUGAACUAUGCCUGUAUAGGGUAAAGCCAGAGGAAACUCUGGUGGAGGCUCGCAGCGGUUCUGACGUGCAAAUCGAUCGUCAAAUAUGGGCAUGGGGGCGAAAGACUAAUCGAACCUUCUAGUAGCUGGUUUCCGCGA